GCGCCGGGGCACCCUGCGCAAGCUGGAGUGGCCAGGCGCCUGGGCACCGAAAGUUAGCCAGGACGUCCGGCUUGCACGGAGGGAGCCACCCGGAAGCCAGUGUUGCUGCGGUGUGAUGUAAGACAUUAAAAUGCAGUGUCACACGUGCCGGUCUGGUUUGUUGUCCGCAUUCACUUCCACUAGAUCCCAGCGCAGCCACGUGACGGCGAGCGCGGCUGAGGUCGCGGGGCGGGGUCAGCGGGGGGCCGGAGCCUUGCUAGGGAAGCAGAAGGUGGUCUCACGGAGCCGAGCGUCUGCAGAAAGAUGGGCUCAGAGCGACCAACAGUGAUGCCCAGCUGCGUUUUUCUUAGGGACAGAAGUGAGCAUCGUGACUCCCAUUGUACAGGGGCUUGUUGAACGAGGUGGAGUCACUCGCCUAAGACAACGCCAGAUCUGCAGCCUGAGCUUCCCCCACGUGGUCUCCACCCGCACCAUCGCCAUGUCCCUCGUCCAAGUCUAUGCCCAGAUCCCACACCAGCUCCCUCCAGCCCUCGUGUGUCCUGGACUCUACUUUUUUCUUUAUUCACCUGCACCCAGGAUCGAGGCAGAAGUACCUAUUUCAACUCUGAUUCCAGCAGCAGAAGAUGUGCUCACUCCUCACAUGAGACACAUUCUUCAUGGACCAGCAAUUCAACGAGGUUCGUUUUUCAUUGUAUGGCUUAAGGGCUUCGCAUUGGUGGGAAGCUGUGUUCGGUCACAACAGGAACUACCCAGCACGUUCGUCCUGUGGCUGCAGACUCAUCACCAGCCAGUUCCUGGGAAAAGGUGAUAAACUCUCUUGGAAGGGACACAUAUAUCUCUUCUGACACAGCUACAUGGACUCUUCUCCAAACUCUGCAGCCAUCCUCCCCAUUCAGUGAAAUAAAGUGUAGAUUU
Molecule: long non-coding RNA, 915 nt
Organism: Equus quagga
Lineage: Eukaryota; Metazoa; Chordata; Mammalia; Perissodactyla; Equidae
Exons: 3
Source: RefSeq, a predicted model, not a curated record